Molecule: ribosomal RNA, 468 nt
Filed under: uncultured bacterium
Lineage: Bacteria
Description: partial 16S ribosomal RNA
Rfam family: Bacterial small subunit ribosomal RNA
Source: RNAcentral
GACGAACGCUGGCGGCGUGCUUAACACAUGCAAGUCGAACGGAAAGGCCCUGCUUUUGUGGGGUGCUCGAGUGGCGAACGGGUGAGUAACACGUGAGUAACCUGCCCUUGACUUUGGGAUAACUUCAGGAAACUGGGGCUAAUACCGGAUAGGAGCUCCUGCUGCAUGGUGUGGGUUGGAAAGUUUCGGCGGUUGGGGAUGGACUCGCGGCUUAUCAGCUUGUUGGUGGGGUAGUGGCUUACCAAGGCUUUGACGGGUAGCCGGCCUGAGAGGGUGACCGGCCACAUUGGUAAUGAGAUACGGCCCAGACUCCUACGGGAGGCAGCAGUGGGGAAUAUUGCACAAUGGGCGGAAGCCUGAUGCAGCAACGCCGCGUGCGGGAUGACGGCCUUCGGGUUGUAAACCGCUUUCGCCUGUGACGAAGCGUGAGUGACGGUAAUGGGUAAAGAAGCACCGGCUAACUACGUG